GGGGAUUUAGCUCAGCGGCAUAGCACCUGCCUUGCAAGCAGGCGGUCGUGAGUUUGAUCCCUG
Molecule: transfer RNA, 63 nt
Organism: Cavia porcellus (domestic guinea pig)
Lineage: Eukaryota; Metazoa; Chordata; Mammalia; Rodentia; Caviidae
Rfam family: tRNA
About the family: Transfer RNA (tRNA) molecules are approximately 80 nucleotides in length. Their secondary structure includes four short double-helical elements and three loops (D, anti-codon, and T loops).
Source: Rfam